This 83-nucleotide transfer RNA is filed under the name Cellulomonas pakistanensis. Its description in RNAcentral is "tRNA-Tyr". The record is from RNAcentral. Lineage: Bacteria; Bacillati; Actinomycetota; Actinomycetes; Micrococcales; Cellulomonadaceae.
UCGAGCGCGGCGGGCAGGUACUUCUCCCCGUUGUAGACGGGGACGGCGACGGUGGCUCGGGGCACGGUUUCCUCGCGGUCGGG